Pelobates cultripes (western spadefoot toad) is the source of this 140-nucleotide non-coding RNA. The record is from the annotation of a GenBank genome assembly. NCBI's taxonomy places the organism in Eukaryota, Metazoa, Chordata, Amphibia, Anura, Pelobatidae.
GAUGACUAGUGAGGGAGGGGGUGACUAGUGACAGAGGGAGGGAGAUGGUGACUAGUGACAGAGGGAGGGAGAUGGUGACUGUCACUAGUCACGCCAUCCCUCCCUCUGUCACUAGUUACUCCCUCCCUCACUCUGUCACC